This 21-nucleotide non-coding RNA is filed under the name Caenorhabditis elegans. The record is from RNAcentral. Lineage: Eukaryota; Metazoa; Nematoda; Chromadorea; Rhabditida; Rhabditidae.
AGUCAUAGAAAUUGAACUCUC